UAAUUUGAUUUAUUACUUUCGAAAUUGUGAAUGCAUCAUAACCUAACUUUCGAACUGUCAAUGUCACUUCAAAAUGUCAUUCUUAUCAACGCAAUUCGCUAUGUAGUACGGUUUCAUCGAGCGAGAUCUUGAGCUCACGCGGUCUGCAACCAAAACUCACGCUUUGAUUAAAGAUUCAUAUAAACUUUCAAUUUAAUAUCUCUCGAAAUGUUUCGCUUACCUUUUGGUGACAGGGUUGACCCCAUGGAGGAAAAACGACAAGCUAGGGAAAACACCAUCAAUAGUGUUAUUACAUUCUGUGUACUCUGUGCUGCCAUAAGAGUCGCCCCACUGAUAUUGGAGCACAGCGGUAUAUAAACACAGCAGCCAUCAUUCUUCAUUCACCAUUAUUUUUUAGACCACCGUGGCAGCGAUCAUUCAAGCCAAGCCUCUAUGGCCUGAUUAACUCCAAAUAUUAUGAAAUAAAAUUAUAGUUAUUGUUAAUUUAA
This is a long non-coding RNA of Leguminivora glycinivorella, 488 nucleotides long. RefSeq lists it as uncharacterized. The record is from RefSeq and is a predicted model, not a curated record. Lineage: Eukaryota; Metazoa; Arthropoda; Insecta; Lepidoptera; Tortricidae. The transcript has 2 exons.